Molecule: ribosomal RNA, 1025 nt
Filed under: uncultured bacterium
Lineage: Bacteria
Description: bacterial SSU rRNA
Rfam family: Bacterial small subunit ribosomal RNA
Source: RNAcentral
ACCUAGUAGAAUUGACGUUACUCGCAGAAUAAGCACCGGCUAACUCUGUGCCAGCAGCCGCGGUAAUACAGAGGGUGCAAGCGUUAAUCGGAAUUACUGGGCGUAAAGCGCGCGUAGGCGGUAUGUUAAGUCGGAUGUGAAAUCCCUGGGCUCAACCUAGGCACUGCAUCCGAUACUGGCACACUAGAGUGUGGGAGAGGAAGGUAGAAUUCCAGGUGUAGCGGUGAAAUGCGUAGAUAUCUGGAGGAAUACCGAUGGCGAAGGCAGCCUUCUGGCCUAACACUGACGCUGAGGUGCGAAAGCAUGGGGAGCAAACAGGAUUAGAUACCCUGGUAGUCCAUGCUGUAAACGAUGUCAACUAGCCGUUGGGAGCCUUGAGCUUUUAGUGGCGUAGCUAACGCGAUAAGUUGACCGCCUGGGGAGUACGGUCGCAAGACUAAAACUCAAAUGAAUUGACGGGGGCCCGCACAAGCGGUGGAGCAUGUGGUUUAAUUCGAUGCAACGCGAAGAACCUUACCUGGCCUUGACAUGUCUGGAAUCCUGCAGAGAUGCGGGAGUGCCUUCGGGAAUCAGAACACAGGUGCUGCAUGGCUGUCGUCAGCUCGUGUCGUGAGAUGUUGGGUUAAGUCCCGCAACGAGCGCAACCCUUUUCUUUAUUUGCCAGCACGUAAUGGUGGGAACUCUAAAGAUACUGCCGGUGACAAACCGGAGGAAGGCGGGGACGACGUCAAGUCAUCAUGGCCCUUACGGCCAGGGCUACACACGUGCUACAAUGGUUGGUACAGAGGGUUGCUACCCCGCGAGGGCAUGCUAAUCUCACAAAGCCAAUCGUAGUCCAGAUUGGAGUCUGCAACUCGACUCCAUGAAGUCGGAAUCGCUAGUAAUCGCGGAUCAGAAUGCCGCGGUGAAUACGUUCCCGGGCCUUGUACACACCGCCCGUCACACCAUGGGAGUUUGUUGCACCAGAAGUAGUUAGCCUAACCGCAAGGAGGGCGAUUACCACGGUGUGGCCAAUGACUGGGGUG